This 601-nucleotide ribosomal RNA is filed under the name Erythrobasidium elongatum. RNAcentral's name for it is "eukaryotic LSU rRNA". It matches the Rfam family "Eukaryotic large subunit ribosomal RNA", at positions 47 to 663 of the family's 3401-position model. Lineage: Eukaryota; Fungi; Basidiomycota; Cystobasidiomycetes; Erythrobasidiales; Erythrobasidiaceae. The record is from RNAcentral.
UAAGCGGAGGAAAAGAAACUAACAAGGAUUCCCCUAGUAACGGCGAGUGAAGUGGGAAAAGCUCAACUUUGAAAUCUGGCUGCUUUGCAGUCCGAGUUGUAGUCUCGAGAAGUGUUUUCCGCGUUAAACCGUGUAUGAGUCUGUUGGAAUACAGCGUCAUAGAGGGUGAGAACCCCGUUCAUGACACGGCUUUUAAUGCUUUGUGAUACAUUUUCGAUGAGUCGAGUUGUUUGGGAAUGCAGCUCAAAUUGGGUGGUAAAUUCCAUCUAAAGCUAAAUAUUGGCGGGAGACCGAUAGCAAACAAGUACCGUGAGGGAAAGAUGAAAAGCACUUUGGAAAGAGAGUUAAAAGUACGUGAAAUUGUCGAAAGGGAAACGCUUGAAGUCAGACGUGCACGGGAUUCAUUCCCAUUGCAGGCCAACAUCGGUUUUGCGAGCCGGAUAAAGGUAGAAGGAAGGUGGCAGUCUCGGCUGUGUUAUAGCCUUCUACUGAAUACGGAUUGCGAGACCGAGGGACGCAGCGCGCCGCAAGGCAGAGGGUUCGCCCUUUUCGCGCUUAGGAUGUUGGUGAAAUGGCUUUAAACGACCCGUCUUGAAACACG